This 72-nucleotide transfer RNA is filed under the name Urocitellus parryii (Arctic ground squirrel). RNAcentral describes it as "Spermophilus parryii (Arctic ground squirrel) tRNA". It matches the Rfam family "tRNA". Rfam says of the family: Transfer RNA (tRNA) molecules are approximately 80 nucleotides in length. Their secondary structure includes four short double-helical elements and three loops (D, anti-codon, and T loops). Further hydrogen bonds mediate the characteristic L-shaped molecular structure. tRNAs have two regions of fundamental functional importance: the anti-codon, which is responsible for specific mRNA codon recognition, and the 3' end, to which the tRNAs corresponding amino acid is attached (by aminoacyl-tRNA synthetases). tRNAs cope with the degeneracy of the genetic code in two manners: having more than one tRNA (with a specific anti-codon) for a particular amino acid; and 'wobble' base-pairing, i.e. permitting non-standard base-pairing at the 3rd anti-codon position. The record is from Rfam by way of RNAcentral. Lineage: Eukaryota; Metazoa; Chordata; Mammalia; Rodentia; Sciuridae. RNAcentral also lists the same sequence under 1 other name.
UGGGGUGUGGCUCAGUGGCAGAGUGCUUGCAUAGCAUGUGUGAGACUCUGGGUUUGAGUCUCAGCACCACAU